ACAAAAAAGUAUAUUUUUUCUAAAUGUUUUCCACAAAAUUUGGACGUAUUAGCGUGGUUGGCUUCCAGGGGUGGGUUUUAUGCUCACUGUUCACAGCUGAUGGUGAUUUGGCUUGAUGCUGGAUGCACGCACCUGCCAGCACUCCCAAUUAAGACGGAGGGAGGUUCAUCCUGCCAGAAGAACAGCUUCGGAGUGUUGCACACUAUUGGUUGGAUUGGGAUUCAAGCCUUGGGGAGAGACACUUGUUGGGAUUAACACAUUUGCAACGGACCACCUUUUUACCGUUCACGUCGUCACAGAUUUAAUCACUGUACCUUUUUUGUAAAUAAACUGUGUUGAUUGACUGAG
Molecule: long non-coding RNA, 348 nt
Organism: Cynoglossus semilaevis (tongue sole)
Lineage: Eukaryota; Metazoa; Chordata; Actinopteri; Pleuronectiformes; Cynoglossidae
Exons: 2
Source: RefSeq, a predicted model, not a curated record